Molecule: ribosomal RNA, 626 nt
Filed under: uncultured bacterium
Lineage: Bacteria
Description: bacterial SSU rRNA
Rfam family: Bacterial small subunit ribosomal RNA (bases 1-525)
Source: RNAcentral
CCUACGGGAGGCUGCAGUCGAGGAUCUUCGGCAAUGGACGAAAGUCUGACCGAGCAACGCCGCGUGUGCGAUGAAGGCCUUCGGGUUGUAAAGCACUGUCGAGGGGAAACAAGCCGUAAGGUUGAGUGACCCCUGGAGGAAGCACGGGCUAAGUUCGUGCCAGCAGCCGCGGUAAGACGAACCGUGCAAACGUUAUUCGGAAUCACUGGGCUUAAAGGGCGCGUAGGCGGGUAAUCAAGUCAAUGGUGAAAUCCUCCAGCUUAACUGGAGAAGUGCCUUUGAUACUGGUUGUCUAGAGGGAGGUAGGGGCAUGUGGAACUUCAGGUGGAGCGGUGAAAUGCGUAGAUAUCUGAAGGAACGCCAGUGGCGAAAGCGAUGUGCUGGACCUCUUCUGACGCUGAGGCGCGAAAGCUAGGGGAUCAAACGGGAUUAGAUACCCCGGUAGUCCUAGCCCUAAACUAUGGGUACUAGAUUGUGGACUUUCAUGGUUCGUACAGUACGAGACAAAGUAGUUAAGUACCCGUCCGUCGGGUAGGUAGUGGUCGCGAGGCGUGAAACGUACAAAGUAGUAAGUUAGUACGGUUCGUUGUAGACGUUGCCGACGGCGACGACGAGGGGAGGUUAGG